CAGGGGAUAUUUUAUUUAAAAUAUAAACUUUGGAAGUUUAUGAUGGGAAUAUUUUCUCUCCACUGA
Molecule: transfer RNA, 66 nt
Filed under: Pseudophoraspis clavellata
Lineage: Eukaryota; Metazoa; Arthropoda; Insecta; Blattodea; Blaberidae
Description: tRNA-Pro
Source: RNAcentral